CGUGUAGGCGGUCAGGUAAGUGGAAUGUGAAAUGCCCCGGCUCACCCGGGGACCGGGCAUCCCAAACUGCCUGGCUUGAGUAUGGGAGAGGAUGGAGGAAUUCCUGGUGUAGCGGUGAAAUGCGUAGAUAUCAGGAGGAACACCGGUGGCGAAGGCGUCCAUCUGGCCCAAUACUGACGCUGAGGCGCGAAAGCUAGGGGAGCAAACG
Molecule: ribosomal RNA, 208 nt
Filed under: uncultured Latescibacterota bacterium
Lineage: Bacteria; Pseudomonadati; Candidatus Latescibacterota
Description: uncultured Latescibacteria bacterium partial 16S ribosomal RNA
Rfam family: Bacterial small subunit ribosomal RNA
Source: RNAcentral